RNAcentral lists this ribosomal RNA (557 nucleotides) under Phascolosoma esculenta. RNAcentral's name for it is "partial 16S ribosomal RNA". It matches the Rfam family "Bacterial large subunit ribosomal RNA", at positions 1838 to 2620 of the family's 2925-position model. The record is from RNAcentral. Lineage: Eukaryota; Metazoa; Annelida; Sipuncula; Phascolosomatiformes; Phascolosomatidae.
CGGUUAUUUGGAGGCAUUGCCUGCCCAGUGACAACUGUUUAACGGCCGCGGUAUCCUGACCGUGCAAAGGUAGCAUAAUCAUUUGUUCUCUAAAUAAGGACUUGUAUGAAUGGCCGCACGAGGGUUUUACUGUCUCUUACUUCCAAUCAGUGAAAUUGACCUUCCCGUGAAGAGGCGGGAAUGCACAAAUAAGACGAGAAGACCCUAUGGAGCUUUAACUAACCAACCCAAAGAGAAUAGAUUUAACCAUUAAGGAAUAACAACAAUCUCCAUGAGUUGGUAGUUUCGGUUGGGGUGACCUCGGAGAAUAAAAAAUCCUCCGAGCGAUUUUAAAGACUAGACCCACAAGUCAAAUCACUCUAUCGCUCAUUGAUCCAAAAACUUGAUCAACGGAACAAGUUACCCUAGGGAUAACAGCGCAAUCCUAUUCAAGAGUCCAUAUCGACAAUAGGGUUUACGACCUCGAUGUUGGAUCAGGACAUCCUGAUGGUGCAACCGCUAUCAAAGGUUCGUUUGUUCAACGAUUAAAGUCCUACGUGAUCUGAGUUCAGACCGGA